GGAACUGUGAGACAGGUGCUGCAUGGCUGUCGUCAGCUCGUGUUGUGAAAUGUUGGGUUAAGUCCCGCAACGAGCGCAACCCUUAUCCUUUGUUGCCAGCGGUUAGGCCGGGAACUCAAAGGAGACUGCCAGUGAUAAACUGGAGGAAGGUGGGGAUGACGUCAAGUCAUCAUGGCCCUUACGACCAGGGCUACACACGUGCUACAAUGGCAUAUACAAAGAGAAGCGACCUCGCGAGAGCAAGCGGACCUCAUAAAGUAUGUCGUAGUCCGGAUUGGAGUCUGCAACUCGACUCCAUGAAGUCGGAAUCGCUAGUAAUCGUAGAUCAGAAUGCUACGGUGAAUACGUUCCCGGGCCUUGUACACACCGCCCGUCACACCAUGGGAGUGGGUUGCAAAAGAAGUAGGUAGCUUAACCUUCGGGAGGGCGCUUACCACUUUGUGAUUCAUGACUGGGGUGAAGUCGUAACAAGGUAACCGUAGGGGAACCUGCGGUUGGAUCACCUCCUUA
RNAcentral lists this ribosomal RNA (510 nucleotides) under Klebsiella pneumoniae. Its description in RNAcentral is "bacterial SSU rRNA". It matches the Rfam family "Bacterial small subunit ribosomal RNA", at positions 1023 to 1533 of the family's 1533-position model. The record is from RNAcentral. Lineage: Bacteria; Pseudomonadati; Pseudomonadota; Gammaproteobacteria; Enterobacterales; Enterobacteriaceae.